AUUGGUAAGUACUUGGUAUAAUUUGGAUUGGAAAAGUAAUUUUACUACAACAGUGUAAACUUCAAUGGUACGCGCCAGAACGCUCCCCUUGACGAGUAAAAUUGUAAAUAGCGUUAGACAGAGUAGAAUAAUAAAGUAGGGCUGGACAUGUGCAGAUGUCUGGUUAAAAUAAUACAGUAGUUCAACUUAAUGGCACUGCUCCACUCCCCCCCCCCCC
This is a non-coding RNA of Paramuricea clavata, 217 nucleotides long. The record is from the annotation of a GenBank genome assembly. NCBI's taxonomy places the organism in Eukaryota, Metazoa, Cnidaria, Anthozoa, Malacalcyonacea, Plexauridae.